UGAGGAUUGGAAAAAUGAUCUUGAUAGUCUUUUACAACUCUAAGUCAAAAUAGAUGGAUGGAUGGAUGGAUAGACAGACAGACAGGCAGAUGGAUAGAUAGAUAGAUAGAUAGAUAGAUAGAUAGAUAGAUAGAUAGAUAGAUAGAUAGAUGAUAGACAGACAGACAGAUAGAUAGAUAGAUAGAUAGAUAGAUAGAUAGAUAGAUAGACAGAACAUUGAUUAAAUGCAUGUUAUAUACUAUGAGAAGGGAAUUUGUGUGUUGAUUUGAUCAAUCAGAGAUUUGAACUUCCCUUCCAUUUGUUUUGAAUUUGGGUCAGUCAGCAACCACGAAAUUGAUCCCUCAGGCAUUACCCCCUGAGUGGUGCCAGGCUAAUUGUGGAACUGGGAUUGGUUCCUGGGAGGUGAUAUAAAACAGCUAGUGGGUGUAGUAAGUAUUUAUAAAAUGAGACCCAGCAAGAAUCUGGGGGAGGGGGAUUGUUGUUUUCUGAAGUUGAGAUUCAGAGACAAAAACUGAGUUGUUUGGCUAGGAAAUUCUUUCUCUCCUUUCUAUAUUUCCCUCUCAUUAUAUUUAUCUUAUUAAUAAAGCUAUUUGAGCUACUAACAAUCUUGUGAUUUAAGGGUUAAUUCAUGUAAACGGUGACACAUUUUUUUUACUCAUAAUUUAGACAAACCAUUCUAACCAUUACAAUACCGAAUACUGUGGAAAGUGCUUGGGAUCCAAAUGAAAGCAAAAUAGAAAAUCCCUGACCUUACAAAGUUUAUAUUCUAAUAGGAGAAAUAAUAAAAGGAGUAUGAAGAAAGGAGACAGCUACUGAGUAGGAGAUGGAAAAUUCCAUAUACUGAGGAGGAGAGAAGCUUUGGGAAUCUCAUGAGCUGGUGGUCUGAUCCAGGGACUCAGCAAUCAGAAGAACCAAAGGAGGAGUCAUCUUGAGGAGAAAGCUGAAGACAACAACACACAGAAGCUCAGAGUUGGAGAGAGGAUUUGGGGCUGACCCACACCUGAGCAAGAAUUCCCAGCUUCCAUAUUACCAGCAAGUGAUCAUUCGGCUUCAACUUAAAGGGUGAGGAAUUUAAUUAUCUUUAUGGGGCUGCUCAUUUCACUUUAGGACUAUUCUAAAUGUUAAGAAAUUUGUUUUGUUGAAACCUGAAUUCUAAUAUAUUCAUCUGCUACUUCUACCCAUUGUUCCUGAUUCUGAGAGCUUGAAGAAUUGGCAUAAAAUAAAUGAUUAGGACAAAAUGAAUGAAUGAAUGAA
This 1254-nucleotide long non-coding RNA is filed under the name Monodelphis domestica (gray short-tailed opossum). RNAcentral's name for it is "lncRNA (ENSMODG00000037910.1)". Lineage: Eukaryota; Metazoa; Chordata; Mammalia; Didelphimorphia; Didelphidae. The record is from RNAcentral.